GCUGGGCAUGGUGUUGCACACCUGUAAUCCCAGCAACUCUGGAGGCUGAGGCAGGAGAAUCCCAAGUCUGAGGGCAGCCUGGGCAACUUAGACCCUCAGCAACUUAGUGAGAUCCUGUCUCAA
This 123-nucleotide small RNA is filed under the name Marmota monax (woodchuck). The record is from RNAcentral. Lineage: Eukaryota; Metazoa; Chordata; Mammalia; Rodentia; Sciuridae.